AUCUUCACUGGCCAAGACCCCCCUUCCUUAUCAAGCCACUGUUAACAUUAAAGCAAAAGGAGAUUUAGCUGAGAGCAAGAAGGGGAUGUAUUUCCCGCCUCCAUCUCCGGCACCUGCUUCUGCACAUGGACGGAAAGGUUCAGCCGCACCUAACCAACCAAAACUGCACAAAUAUCCUACAGGACCAGAGGGUUCAGCUGCUCCUAAC
Long non-coding RNA from Mangifera indica (mango), 208 nucleotides. RefSeq lists it as uncharacterized. Lineage: Eukaryota; Viridiplantae; Streptophyta; Magnoliopsida; Sapindales; Anacardiaceae. The transcript is spliced from 3 exons. The record is from RefSeq and is a predicted model, not a curated record.